RNAcentral lists this ribosomal RNA (422 nucleotides) under uncultured bacterium. RNAcentral describes it as "bacterial SSU rRNA". It matches the Rfam family "Bacterial small subunit ribosomal RNA", at positions 355 to 774 of the family's 1533-position model. The record is from RNAcentral.
UAAGGAAUAUUGGUCAAUGGAGGCAACUCUGAACCAGCCAUGCCGCGUGAAGGAUUAAGGCCCUCUGGGUUGUAAACUUCUUUUAUAUGGGAAGAAAUGUACUUUUUCUAAAGUGCUUGACGGUACCAUAGGAAUAAGCACCGGCUAACUCCGUGCCAGCAGCCGCGGUAAUACGGAGGGUGCAAGCGUUACCCGGAUUUACUGGGUUUAAAGGGUGCGUAGGCGGAUGAAUAAGUCAGUGGUGAAAUCUCCGAGCUUAACUCGGAAACUGCCGUUGAUACUAUUUGUCUUGAAUAUUGUGGAGGUAAGCGGAAUAUGUCAUGUAGCGGUGAAAUGCUUAGAUAUGACAUAGAACACCAAUUGCGAAGGCAGCUUGCUACACAAUCAUUGACGCUGAGGCACGAAAGCGUGGGGAUCAAACA